GAGUAUUAUGUAUUAUAGUUGUACUCAGGAUAUUCUAUAAGAUGGAUGGAGCUCUCUGAUUGUAGCUUUCUUUGGUCUUCUGUGCAGACUGACGGUUUUGGAGCCAACUAAAGUCCAAUUUUGGCAGCAGUUCUGCUACAGCUUCUCUAGGUGUUUUCUCCUUAGGUGGCAGUGCAACUAAAACCAGGGUGGGCAAACUUGCCUUUUCCUUCUCGUGACUUUUUGACUAUGUAGCACGAAAUAUAAAAAUGUUGUUGAUAGCAAUUUAUCUGGUUUCAUGCAGGUGAUUUUCAUUGCAAAAUGCAUAUAUCAGAUGCUAAAAUGUUGAUCUCUUUUCUUGUGACUGACGUGACGAACUAAUAUUUUUUUUGUGGUAUGUAUUUUAUGUUGUCCGAUGAUGUUUUUUUUUUUUUUUUUUUUGCUUUCUGCUCCGAUGCUGCUGUCAAAUAUGGACCUUUUGUUGUUUCCCAUUUCUGCUCAUCGUGUUUACAUUCAAUGCUUGAUUUGCAUGCUUAAUGACUCUUUGCUUAAGAAUGUAAAUUAUUACAGCUUUACCAAUUAAAGAAUGUAAAAGUAUGGUAUAUUUGCAUGUAGAAGCAAGCACUUUGGAGGAAGGCUCAUCCCUGUAAGAGGACGUUAUUAAAGGAUUCUAUUUUCUCAAAAUGCAUUUGCUUUCAGCUUGGUAAAAUGGCAACCAUACCCGUCUUUGGCUUGAUGUAUGAUGCGGGAGUUCUGCACUGAAAGAAGAAUUUCCAACCUAUUCUCGAUCAUGACUGAUAAAGAGGCCACUUUACAUGAGCGAUUAAGGAGAUAUGGAGGUCAAGUGUCACAAGAUAUUUCCUUUAGGACGCCCAUUCAAGAUUAGGACUGGAAUUAGACGGGCAAUUUGCCUUCAGAGAAGUUGCUGUUGCACAAUUCAGAGAGGACAUAGAGAUUUGGCAGGCUACAACAACAACAACAACAACCCAGUGAAAUCCCACAAUUGGGGUCUGGGAAAGGUAGUGUGUACGCACUGUUUCCGAUAGACCUUCGGCACAAGAAGAUGGAAUGAGACAGUGUAGCGGUAACAAGAAAGAUUUGGGCAGGCUGAACCUUGAAAUUGUAUUAUAAUCACUCAUUUAGGAGAGGUGAUUCAGGCCCAUAUGGUAGCGUAUGGAAGAGAGACAGCAAAAAAAGCAAGUUUUAAGCACUCUUGUCAGUUGGUGCCUUGGUGGUAUUUUGCAAAGGAUGAGGGGGAUUUUGAUCACUUCUUACUACAUUCCAUUUCACUGUAUGCUCCAUAGUUUACUCCAUGCUUAAAUUGUCAUGAGAAUGACCUAGGACAGUGUUGGAUAUCAGGGCAAGUUGAGAAUGAGAAGGCUAGAUGCUUGAAAGGAAGAUCUGGUAAGGAGGCUCGCUCAUUUUGUGCAUUUUUUCCGGUUGAUUUGGAGAGAGAUAUAAUAGAACUUUUGAGGAAGUUGAAAGCCUACUGUUGAAAGUUAGAGGGUCUUUUUUAUUUUGUUUAUACUUUUCGGCGCAAAAGGAUAUCUCACUUUGUAAAAAGAAAUCGAUUUUUUGGAAUUUUGAUGUAAACCCUAUACAUAUAUAUGUGAGGUAAAACCAACUUGAUGUGGUAUUUAUGAAAUGCUUUGUCUUUUCGUCUUCUUGAGCGAGGGUCUAUUGGAAACAACCUCUAGAGGUAAGGUUUGCGUACACACUAUCCUCCCCAGACCCCACUUGUGGGACUAUACUGGGUGGUUGUUGUUGUUGUUGAAAAGUGCAAGUAGAAUAUUCUGAGAUGCCUCGAAGUGCAUUUGUUUGUUUCAGAAAGGAUGGUCAGAGGAGAUUUAGUUCGAAUUUGAUGUAGUAGGAGAGAAAUAGUACUUGAAGUGCUUGUGCACUUAACCCAGAAAGAAUGGCAGAGAAAGUCAUCCUUCCAAAAACUGAUUGAAAGAAACCCUGAAGUGUAACAUUAAACAAAACAGACGAUCUUCUUGUCCCCGCAGAGAAGGAAAUUCCCAGGUGACUGUUUAGCUUACUGUUUGUUGCAAACAAGAUAAUAUUACCUACUUUGCCGC
Molecule: long non-coding RNA, 2057 nt
Filed under: Nicotiana tabacum (common tobacco)
Lineage: Eukaryota; Viridiplantae; Streptophyta; Magnoliopsida; Solanales; Solanaceae
Description: long non-coding RNA (NTAB_LNC011209)
Source: RNAcentral